AUGUUACCUAUUCCUGGGGUUCAUGCUAUUGCACAGUGGGAUAGGAGGUGUCUGCAGAGCCAGAUCCUCAACCCACUGAGUCACCAGGGAACUCUGUGUACAAGGUUUUUUGGGGUUUUUUUUUGUCUUUUUCUAGGGCCGCACUUGCGGCAUAUGAAGGUUCCCAGGCUAGGAGUCUUAAUUGGAGCUGUAGCUGCCGGCCUACACUAGAGCCACAGCAACGCGGGAUCCGAGCCGCGUCUGCAACCUACACCACAACUCACGGCAACGCUGGAUCCUUAACCCACUGAGCGAGGCCAGGGAUCGAACCCACCACCUCAUGGUUCCUAGUCAGACUGGUUAACCACUGCGCCACAACGGGAACUCCCUGGUUCUUGUAAUUAUUAAUAGAGGCAAGUUGAAGGUUCUGCCUUACAUUUGUGGAUUCAUCAGUGUCUCCUUGCAGUUCCAUCUGUUUUUUCCUGGUGUACUUUGCCAUUCUAUUGCUGUGCACAUAACCCUAAAGAUAGCUGUGUCUCCUUAGAGACUUGACCCCUUUAUAAAUAUGUAAUGCCAUUCUUUAUCCCAGUGCUUUGUCUGAGAGUAAUAUCGAUGUUCCAGCUGUUUUUUAAUGAUGACGUGGGAUAUCUUUUCAUCUCUGAGUCUUAAUUUCUUUACUGUUAAUGUAAUUUUAUUAAAAACAGCAUAUAGUUGGAUGGGUGUUUGUGUUCUUUUUUCCUUAAUUUUUAAUUUUGUUUUUCUUUUUUAGGGCCUCAUCCAUGUCACAUGAAAGUUCCCAGGAUAGGAGUUCCUGUCGUGGAUCAGUGGUAACAAACCCAAAUAGUAUCCAUGAGGAGGUGGGUUUGAUCCCUGGGCUCGCUCAGGGGGUUAAAGAUCUGGCAUUGCUGUGAGCUGUAGUGUAGGUUGCCAGUGCAGCUCAAAUCCUCUGUGGCUGUGCCUGGGUGGCAUAGCCUGGCAGCUAUAGCUCCAAAUCUAGCCUGAGAGCUUCCAUAGGCUGCAGAUGUGGCCCUAAAAAGACAAAAAAAGAAAGAAAAAAAAGAAAGUUCCCAGGCUAGGGGUCACACUGGGGCUAGAGCUGGUGACCUACGCCACCACAACAGCAACACUAGAUCUGAGCCAAAUCUGCAAAUUACACAACAGCUCAUGGCAAUGUUGAUCGUUAACCCACUGAGCGAGGC
Molecule: long non-coding RNA, 1178 nt
Filed under: Sus scrofa (pig)
Lineage: Eukaryota; Metazoa; Chordata; Mammalia; Artiodactyla; Suidae
Description: lncRNA (ENSSSCG00030031032.1)
Source: RNAcentral